AAUAUGUAUACGUCGCUCCAUAUUUUCAUUGUUAAGCCU
Molecule: small RNA, 39 nt
Filed under: Staphylococcus aureus
Lineage: Bacteria; Bacillati; Bacillota; Bacilli; Caryophanales; Staphylococcaceae
Description: HMPRNC0000_1186
Source: RNAcentral